This is a long non-coding RNA of Onychostoma macrolepis, 1948 nucleotides long. RefSeq lists it as uncharacterized. Lineage: Eukaryota; Metazoa; Chordata; Actinopteri; Cypriniformes; Cyprinidae. The transcript is spliced from 8 exons. The record is from RefSeq and is a predicted model, not a curated record.
AUGUUAUCUCUUACAGAAUCUCCAGUUGUCUCCAGUCCCUUCCUGCCUGACACACCGUGACAGGAUGAGUGUGCAAAUGCACUUUAAUUCAGCUCAGCUGAAUGAGUGUCAGCGUGAUUUUGAUGUCACACUUAUAUUCUACAAUUCAUUUUAAUUGUGAAUUCAUUCUAAAGUGGAAGAACUUAGAAGAAUUGUAAAUUCUUCAAUUUAUUUGUUGUGCAUUGUCUUUCCUUUCCUCUUUAUUCUUCAAACAUGGGUGUUUAAUCACAGAAUGAGAUUAAUAUCUCGUCCUGUAAUGCUGCUGGGAGGUAGUCAUGGUAUUUCACAUCAGUAAGAUCUCAUAGAGAGGAAGACAUCUUCAUGAACUUCUGCUUUUCUUUGACUGCAUUGCUCUGAGAGCUCCAGAAAUGUUCGUGCUCCAUAUAACAUCCUUCAUCAUUAUCCUCAGCUCUGUGUUUCUACACACUCACUCAGCUGAUAAUAUCUACUCUUCUGUGAUGCCUCAGACAGUAACAGCUCUGACAGGCUCUUGUGUGCAGAUUCCUUGCACAUUCAGCGUCUCUGGUUUUGAGGACAAACGUAACGGGUCACGUUUUAUUUAUGGGAUCUGGCUAAAACACACCACAGCAUGCUAGCAAAGACAGUUUUAUAGCUUUUAAUAGCAGUGAAAACAUCAUUAGAGGAUUCAGUGACAUUCAGAUGACUGGAGAUCUCAAUAAGAGGAACUGCACAACUGUCUUCUAUAACAUCAUGAAGAAUCAUUCAGACAUCUAUUACUUCAGACUGCAAAUGGAGCCAGAUGUGUUCAGAGCAACAUUUAACCCCGGGACAGAUGUUUCAAGCAAGACUGUGAGGAUCAAUGUCAGAGAUUCAACACAACUUCCUCACCUGAAACCCACUGAUCUGAAAAAAGGAAGGAUGGAGGGAACUACAGUAAAUCUGAGCUGCUCUGCUGAAGCCCCCUGCCCCAAACAACCUCCUACAAUAUCCUGGUCUAACAUCCCUGAAUCUGCCAACAUUACAACACAGUUACAGGAUAAAACCCAGUCAGUGUUUUCAUACGUGACCUUCCAAGCUUCAUACAAAGAUCACAGGAAGAACAUCUCCUGCACUGCUACAUAUCCAAGAAAUACACCUGAUGCCUCAACUGUGAAGAGCACCGUGAUGCUACGAGUCCAGUUUUCUCCAAAAUAAACUCAUCACCAUCGAUCGAUCUGAUUCAGUCUCCGUUGGUACAAAUGUGACUUUGACCUGCAGAAGUAAAGCCAGUCCAUCAAAUAACUUGAACUACACCUGGUACAAACGUGGAAAGGAGAUGCCAAUAGCUCAGGAAAAGAAGAUUAAUUUUAUUUUAAAUUACAGUAAUACAGGAUUGUACUUCUGCAGAGCACAGAAUAAACAUGGCAAUCAGUCAUCAGCAGAGAUUCAGCUCACAGCUGAAGGACAAGAUGGACACUCUAUGACUGUGAUCGCUGGUUGUGUGGGAGGAAUUGCGGCAGUGCUCAUGCUCUCUGCUAUUGGAUUUUGUACAAGCAGGACCAGGAAAAAGACACACAGGGGAGACAAUGCUGGAGAAAAAGAUUGCCUAAAUCAGAACAACAGGAUCUCUGAUGAUCAAAGUGUGCGUGACUGUGAAACUGAGUUCAGUUCUCAGAUCGACCACAUUACAGAGAACGGUUCAACAGAAGAAGACAACAAUGAAAAAGGCUCAGAUGUAGUAUAUACACAGGUCCACGUGCUACACAAAAAACCAAAAGCCAUCAGUGUUCUACCUGAGAGCAUUUAUGCUCAGGUGAAAGUCUAAGUGUUUUUUUUUCCUUUCUGUUUUGAUGGUUCCUUUAGACACUCUGUUGACUGUAAAAACCUUUGGAACAUGUCAACUAACUCUCAGAGUAUACUGUUAAAAAUAAAUGUAAUUUUACAGUUAAUGGUCUGUAUUAUUUUACAG